AUGACGAUGAGGUGUUCCGGCCCGCACCCGCCAUAUUCUGCAUCGGCGGACGGCCGGACAAGAGGGAAUCCCGUUAAAUCGGGAGCUGCCCCGCAACUGUAAGCGGCUUUUGAAAUUCGCGCUGUUGGAAGCAUCCAAACAGAAGGCGAAGAGUAAGCGAGCCGCGAGCCAGGAGACCUGCCCCAUCGCAAAGAGGUGU
RNAcentral lists this non-coding RNA (199 nucleotides) under Deltaproteobacteria bacterium. Lineage: Bacteria; Pseudomonadati; Myxococcota; Myxococcia. The record is from RNAcentral.